Chrysemys picta bellii (western painted turtle) is the source of this 578-nucleotide long non-coding RNA. RefSeq lists it as uncharacterized. The record is from RefSeq and is a predicted model, not a curated record. Lineage: Eukaryota; Metazoa; Chordata; Testudines; Emydidae.
UCCAUCCUUAGAGGGUUUUAAGGCCCGGCAGCCACACUGCUUGGAUAGAGAGGAAUUGUUAACUCCUGCUCUGACGUGGGAAACUCUGGGUGAUUGUUUAGAACAAGUGAUGCAUGCAGCUCUUUACAGGGAUUUCUGGCUACAGAUUGCAUCAGGUGCACCUAGGAUCCCAUGGGUCAACACGUCACAGUCCACAGAACCCUAUAAAUACUGGGACACUCUGUCUCUUCCUCCAUCUCGCUCUGCCUGGUGCAACUUCUCUGCAGUGACACUGAGAUCCCAGCCGACCUUCAGCCAUGAAGGGCCUCUACCUGCUCUGUGUUGUUGCCCUCCUCCUCUUCCAUGCUGGUCCAGGAGAUGGCACACCGAUUAUUCCCUGUGGAGGCGGACUGGGUUUCUGCUUAGUGAACUUGAGCAUAUGCCCUCUUGGUACAGUAGCGGGUGUACUAUGCUUGGGUGGAACACCCUGCUGUAAAAGUUGUCAAGUAUGCUGAGCCGAAGUAAUGUACAAGGGGACGGCUCGCAGCAUCGCGAGAGAGAUUUGUACCCCUCUUUUGAAUAAAAUAUGUCCCAUCACA